RNAcentral lists this ribosomal RNA (1161 nucleotides) under 'Phoenix canariensis' yellowing phytoplasma. RNAcentral's name for it is "bacterial SSU rRNA". It matches the Rfam family "Bacterial small subunit ribosomal RNA", at positions 181 to 1352 of the family's 1533-position model. The record is from RNAcentral. Lineage: Bacteria; Bacillati; Mycoplasmatota; Mollicutes; Acholeplasmatales; Acholeplasmataceae.
UCUUUUAUCUUUUAAAGACCUAGUAAUAGGUAUGCUUUAGGAGGGGCUUGCGCCAUAUUAGUUAGUUGGUAGGGUAAUGGCCUACCAAGACGAUGAUGUGUAGCUGGACUGAGAGGUUGAACAGCCACAUUGGGACUGAGACACGGCCCAAACUCCUACGGGAGGCAGCAGUAGGGAAUUUUCGGCAAUGGAGGAAACUCUGACCGAGCAACGCCGCGUGAAUGACGAAGUACUUCGGUAUGUAAAGUUCUUUUAUCAAGGAAGAAAAGCAAAUGGCGAACCAUUUGUUUGCCGGUACUUGAUGAAUAAGCCCCGGCUAAUUAUGUGCCAGCAGCCGCGGUAAGACAUAAGGGGCAAGUGUUAUCCGGAAUUAUUGGGCGUAAAGGGUGCGUAGGCGGUCUAGUAAGUCAGUGGUGUAAUGGCAACGCUUAACGUUGUCCGGCUAUUGAAACUGCUAAACUUGAGUUAGAUAGAGGCGAGUGGAAUUCCAUGUGUAGCGGUAAAAUGCGUAAAUAUAUGGAGGAACACCUGAGGCGUAGGCGGCUCGCUGGGUCUUAACUGACGCUGAGGCACGAAAGCGUGGGGAGCAAACAGGAUUAGAUACCCUGGUAGUCCACGCCGUAAACGAUGAGUACUAAGUGUCGGGUUAAACCGGUACUGAAGUUAACACAUUAAGUACUCCGCCUGAGUAGUACGUACGCAAGUAUGAAACUUAAAGGAAUUGACGGGACUCCGCACAAGCGGUGGAUCAUGUUGUUUAAUUCGAAGAUACCCGAAAAACCUUACCAGGUCUUGACAUGUUUUUGCAAAAUGAUAGUAAUAUCGUGGAGGUUACCAGAAACACAGGUGGUGCAUGGUUGUCGUCAGCUCGUGUCGUGAGAUGUUAGGUUAAGUCCUAAAACGAGCGAAACCCUUAUCGUUAGUUGCCAGCACGUUAUGGUGGGGACUUUAACGAGACUGCCAAUGAUAAAUUGGAGGAAGGUGAGGAUCACGUCAAAUCAGCAUGCCCCUUAUGACCUGGGCUACAAACGUGAUACAAUGGCUGUUACAAAGGGUAGCUGAAACGCAAGUUCUUGGCCAAUCCCCAAAAACAGUCCCAGUCCGGAUUGAAGUCUGCAACUCGACUUCAUGAAGUUGGAAUCGCUAGUAAUCGCGAAUCAG